Drosophila yakuba is the source of this 416-nucleotide long non-coding RNA. RefSeq lists it as uncharacterized. NCBI's taxonomy places the organism in Eukaryota, Metazoa, Arthropoda, Insecta, Diptera, Drosophilidae. The transcript is spliced from 2 exons. The record is from RefSeq and is a predicted model, not a curated record.
GGAUUUAAGUACUAACUUAUACAAUAUAUACCUUCUUUAUAUUUUCAGUGCAUUCUUGACUCUUUAUGGGUUGACAACUUGUAGGCGUGUUGAAUCGCGGACGUAAGAAGACAGCGAUUGAGAAUGGAAUGGGACCGGGAUUGGGACUAGAACUUCGAUUGGAUUUGGAAUCGAGGAAAAGGGAAUAAAAGUCGGGAUUGGGAUGCACAUUUUAAAUGUGCAGCGAUCUGCAGCGGCUGAUAAACAGGUAGUCCCCGGAUGGCCAAGAUGGAGUUGAAGAUGGUACUAUGUUAUGGUACGGACUGAGAUGGGAUGGAGAUCAAUUUGGCUGGACCCGAACCUGCAACAUUGCGCUUGAUGAUGACUUUUCGGUCUAGCCGGCGACAAUAAAUUUCUCAAUUUACCAAUGCUCCAGA